UACGAGGGGUCCUAGCGUUGUUCGGAAUCACUGGGCGUAAAGCGCAGGUAGGCGGCUUUGUAAGUCGGGUGUGAAAGCCCACGACUCAAUCGUGGAAUGGCAUUCGAUACUGCGAAGCUUGAGUACUGGAGAGGGUGACGGAAUUCCUGGUGUAGUGGUGAAAUACGUAGAUAUCAGGAGGAACAUCGGUGGCGAAGGCGGUUGCCUGGCCAAGUACUGACGCUGAGCUGCGAAAGCGUGGGGAGCAAACAGG
This 253-nucleotide ribosomal RNA is filed under the name uncultured bacterium. RNAcentral's name for it is "partial 16S ribosomal RNA". It matches the Rfam family "Bacterial small subunit ribosomal RNA", at positions 524 to 776 of the family's 1533-position model. The record is from RNAcentral.